GAGCUCUGUAGUAGAGCAUCUGUUUUUGCAUGCAGAAGGUCUCAGGUUCAAUCCCUGGUAUCUCCA
This is a non-coding RNA of Podarcis lilfordi (Lilford's wall lizard), 66 nucleotides long. The record is from the annotation of a GenBank genome assembly. NCBI's taxonomy places the organism in Eukaryota, Metazoa, Chordata, Lepidosauria, Squamata, Lacertidae.